CGUCGGUACUUGUGUUACGGUCCCUUUUCAACUCCCCCUCGUCACAUUUCACGUCCUUCGUCCCGUUCUCCUCUCCCUCCUCUCCUUCCCUUGCCUGCGAUCCCUCGGAGAACACCCAGCCAAAACCCUAACCCUAUAGAUCUCGUGCCAUCUGUGGAUCUCCAUCGGAUCUUUUAGUUUUUUGGCUUUAAGAUGUUAUCCGCUCGGAUGCUUCAACAAAAUCUCGGAGUCGUUCUUCCAACGUUGGUGUCUACCGGUGUUCAGACAGAAGAGGCAUCAGAAACUGAGCCAAUUCUGUCUCAGCCAACCAAUGCUGGCAGUUCCAAGGAGUCCCCAUCUUCAUGUGAAAUCAGUCCUGUGGGUGCUGAUGAUGACGGUCAAGACAUUGAUGAUGAUGAACAUUGCAAUCUUGUGAACCAAGACCUACAUCAAUGCCGAAUUUGCCUUGAUACUGGAGGUGAUGAUUUAAUUGCACCCUGCCAUUGCAAGGGUACACAGAAAUAUGUGCAUCGAUCUUGUCUUGACAACUGGAGAUCAACCAAGGAAGGCUUUGCAUUUGCACACUGUACAGAGUGCAGGGCUGUUUUCAUACUGCGUGCAAAUGUGCCACCAGAUCGGUGGUGGUUGAGACUGAAGUUUCAGCUCCUCGUUGUCAGGGAUCACGCACUUAUAUUUGUUAUCGUGCAGCUGGUCGUUGCUUUCUUGGGCAUGCUGGUAUACAGAUUUUAUGGCGAGGAACUGCGAGAAAUGUUUGGUUAUGAGGAACACCCAUAUGGAUUUUAUACAAUGGCCAUAUUAGCUAUUAUUCUGGUGGGCUUGCUGUAUGGAUUCUUCAUUGCCAUAAUAUGUGGACAAAGGAUCAAUGAACGCCACUACCAUGUUCUUGCAAAACAAGAACUGACAAAGUGAGCAAUUCCAUGUCCACAUACAACCUCAAAACUUCUCUAUCACAUUUGGAAAUCAGCAUCACAAUCUGACAGGUGGGGAGCACUACUAUGUGAUGUCACUUUCCAAAAUGAAUAUGUGGUGGAAAGUAGAGAUGAAAAUAAGAAUUUGCCGGAACUGGACCCCACUCAUGUUACGGAGUUGAGAAUGCUGGGACUUUACUGAGCCGGAAGAUGAGCAUGAUCUAUCAAGUUCUCCAGUAAGCAGUUUGUUUUGCAAAGCAACUUAUUUUUCAUAUGCACCAAAUGAUAAACCAUUAUAUAUAGAUACAUGCAUGUAUCACAUGUAUGUGCUACAUGUUUUUCAAGUCAAUGUAGUAGAUAUCUUGUGACGGCCUUGCAUAUACAUAUACAUGUUCGGAUAUGAAUCUUUCAAUUUUCUUACUGUAAGGAGGAAAUUUAGGUAAGUGGAUGACUUAUUUAAUCAUUUUUUACCAACUCCAACCAGGUUAGGCCUUUACAAUCGCAAUGAAUUCUGUCUUACGUAGGUCCAGCCUAAAGUCUCUUUCUUUUAUUAUUAAGGGACAAAUACUUGUUCAAUUUUUGAAGCAUUUUCUACAGUGUUUUAAGGUAUGCAGCAGAAUGUAGCAUUCAAGUAGCUGUGGCCAUUUACACAGGUCGCUAGGUGGAUUGGAUUAAAGAUUAUUGAGAAAAAUAUUCAAAGAUACAAACAAAUAAAGAUGAUUAGCAAAUUGGAAUGAGGUUAAGAAAACGUAGGAAGAAAAAGGCGCAUUGUAAAAUUACAUUUUUCCCUCCCUAGAGACCAUGCAAAAAUACUAAAUUAUUCAUCUGAGAGAGCAUGUUCUUAAUUCAAAUUAAUGCAACAAGUUACUGGUUAGUCAAUCUAGAGUUUGAAAUAAACAUUUAACUCAGAAAUACUAGAACUUGUUAUCAAGGUGUUGGGAAAGCAUUGAAAGAGGCAUGGGAGCCAUUAUUUGCCUGUCUGGCUCAGCAAAUAGCAUAACCUGCCUCCUAGGCCACGACUGGUCGUGUAGGCACUUGUGAACCGGUCAACCUGUAUAUGGGGGAUCGCUUAGGCUGUUGGGCCCUAAGCAGGGAAGCUGCGAAGAUCUCCAAAGCCAGGCAGGCACAUAGGCUAUCCAACUGGCUGCUUUUGAAACAAUGAAUCUGGAGCACGAUCCAUUCAGAAUGGUAUUAGAGAAACAGUUGCCUGCAUGCACAUAGAGUUUACAUUGAAAUUGAAGAACUUUAAUCAAUGGUUUGCUGGUUAACUAUAAUUAUUACAUCUGUUUGAAAGAGGACUUUGUGAGCUCUCGUUAUUUGUUUGUUCUGCUGAUAGAAUCUCAAGUAUUUUUUCUUCUCUUGAAAAAGGUAAAUUGUUCCAGUACUGGGGCUCGAGCUGCAUUCUAUUACUGUGCUAAAGCUUGAUUUCAAUUUUCCCCAGUUUGAUUUCAUAACCUUGUUAUGCAUUUCUUCUAUUAAUCCUUGGUUUUUCCCAAUAAUUUUCUUCCGUUACCUGGUGGAAUCUACCUGUAGACACCGGAUGAAUCAACCAUGGCAUAAGGCUAAUCAACUGCAACAUGACAGGAGACCACCGCUCCAAAGGAAAAUGUAACUACAAAGCAUUUGUAGAUGGUUUUGAUUUUUUUUCACUUAUCAAGGCAACCUUACAGGACAUACUAAGUGCAUAUGCAAAUGUUUAUAUACGUUAAUGUGCUGGAAUUAUGGAGCCGCAUCUUGAUCCAUGAAGCGAUGGCUCGGAAAAAUCACAAGAAUUAUGAUGUCACCUUGUCCUGGACAGAAGGAUUUAAAUUUGCAAACUAUGGCAUCCGGCAGAGUUGUGAUGUAUUACAGAUACAAACAAGGAGAGGUUAACAAAGAAUUGCAUUUUAUUAUCAGUAUAUAUAUGCUUAUGUUGUUGAUAAGCCUAAUAAAUCUUGGCGGCCCCAAUAUACUCUCCUGGACAGAGUAUGUGGUCUAUGGCAAGUCUUUCGUGUACAAAUUGCCGGGUUUUCAGUAACCGGUGUGAAUCAGUAAUUGCAGAUAAUCAAAUGAGGCUGUUUUAUUGGCCUUAACCACCAA
This is a non-coding RNA of Elaeis guineensis (African oil palm), 2987 nucleotides long. The record is from RefSeq and is a predicted model, not a curated record. Lineage: Eukaryota; Viridiplantae; Streptophyta; Magnoliopsida; Arecales; Arecaceae.